Monodelphis domestica (gray short-tailed opossum) is the source of this 37118-nucleotide non-coding RNA. The record is from RefSeq and is a predicted model, not a curated record. NCBI's taxonomy places the organism in Eukaryota, Metazoa, Chordata, Mammalia, Didelphimorphia, Didelphidae.
GUCUGCAUCCUUGUCUUUCUGGGCCUGGCUUGGCUUUACAGGCGAGGCGAACGCCCGGUUGUCAUAUUAGAGGGAAGGAGGAUGAGAGCUCAGUUCCUUAGUCCUGGGGCCUCCCGUCCCAGCCCACCAGGCCCUAUAUAGUCUUGGGUUGCCGGUCCUGGUGGCUGGGGGGACCAAGUCCCUAAACAGAAUGACAUUGAGCCCUCCUUGGUCAUUUGGUCUGGGUGCGUUGGGCAGGGCAGGGCAGGUUGGGUCAGCCAGGUUUUCUGUCCCAGCUCAGAGGCACAUAACCCAGAGGGGGGUGAUUGGUUGUACCCCGGGGUUGCUUUGGGCUUCCACUGAACCAUUCCCCCUUCCCCCAACAAUCUCCUCUGAGCUGAAAGAAAAAUUAACCUUAGCAAGCCAGUACGGUUAAGUGUUUUUAUUUUCCAUGGAAAUGCUGAUAGACAGCUUGGACCCGAGGUUCUUGGCUUAAAAUCUUAAACACCUCGGAUUGUGUGGAAGUUGGGGUCCCUUGGGUGGUGAAAUAUUUCAAAGGGCAAGGGGGUGGCCCAGGGCUGAUUAUUCUCCCAUGUUUUCCAGAAAUAUGGAUUUUGCAUGGUCAAUGAGUGUUUUCCCCCCCAAAUGGCCAGAAUUGAGGCAGCUUCAUGAGACUAGAGAAUGAACCAAAGCUCUGUUUCUGAAAUCCAGUCAUAAAUAAUGGCUCUAAGGCUCCAGGAGACAGAUGCUGCUGUGGGGUCACUGUGGGGCAUAGAGGAGAGGGACAGGAAAAUCUGUAUUUUGAAACAAGUGUCUUUGGCCAAGGACAGUAAAAACACUGUCUCCUGGAGCCCAGGCCUUACUCUGGUGGUAGCGGUCAUAUCUCCUUGGAAAAGACUGACAAUAGGAAUGAGAAAACAGGCUGCCCUCCCUAUUGACUUUGAACCUGUUUAUCAAUAGUGAAGGGAGGAGAGAAGAGGAUAGAAUCAAAUUUCUAGUCUUGCUGUGCCACAAAGGGACAUAGAAUUCCAUGUAGCUGUCCACAGUAUUCAUGUGUGUCAUGUACACACCAUCCCUGUUUGUGCUGACCCCAGCAUCCAGUUCUUUUUUGGAUUGCCUUGCUAAAUUCAGCUAGAAGGUGGAUGUUAUGUUUGAGAGACAUUUUUUACUUCACUUGCUGUUGUUAUACUAGAGGUUAAGACACGUGAAGACUUUUUAUUCAUAAUUCUUAGUCUGUUGGGAUUUCAGUGAACACUUUGGUUAGAGGGCUUCAUUUCCCAAACAUCUUUGGAGCAUUAUGGUUCUAGAGGAAUGUGGGUGCUGCCUGCAGCUUAUGCAUGAUCUUUACUCUUUAUGUAGUCCACCCAAGGCUGGUUUUUCACCUGUGCACAAAUGGGAACCUUGGUAUUCUCUAUUACAAGGAAAUGCUGGAAUUUCAGGUUCCAGUUGCCUCUGCAGUGACUGCUUCAGAUGCUCUUGAGGUUUCUUAAUGAGGUUCUUGCAUGGGCAAGGGCAUGUCUAAAUACUCACAUGGCCAAGGGUAGUCAUGGUCUCCUUUUUUUUUUCCAGUGGAGCACAGGAAGGAAAAAAUAAUUCUAAAUUGGAAGGUAUUGAUACUAGAUCUGAGUCUUAUUCAGUCACACAAGGGUAAACAUUAGGGUAAAUUCUGCUACUGAUAUGGCCAUUGUACAGCUAGAAUCCUGAGAAAGUCAACUUGGAAGCCAAGAAUUUUGAUUUUGAACUAUUGCAAAAGUGUAGCUGAGAGAAAGGAGAGAGGAAAAAGGAGAUGUUAGGUAUCCAUUAAAAAAGCAGGAAAACAAAAAGACCUAAACACCCAAAUACAUGUUUUGUGUUUAAGGCUUGAGAAUCUAGAAUGUUAGAGAAGUGGUCACUAGAUAUUUCUCUUGAGUAGAAUUGUGAUUUCCAGGAUUGGGAAGGAAGGGUUCUCUACUGAAAAACCCUGUCUUGGCAAUUCUCUUUUCUGAAGGGUUGGGAAAUCUUGAAGAUGGAAAUAUGAGGAAGUAUCCUAAAUGAGCUGGCUUAAUCCUCUUUUCUCUACUGGACUAAGCCAAACCCCAUUUCUAUGGGGCCCUCUUUGCCAAGUAUUGUCAUUGUUCAUUCCUGUUAGCCAAGCCAUUAAAGAGAUGUGGAUGCCCUGGAGGAUGGUGGUUCUGUGGGAAGGGGACUCCUUCCUUAAAAAAUGGUGUGAUAAUCCAAGAUGAGGACUUGAGGGUUGGGGUGGGGAUUGGAUCACGAUAGACUUUGAAAUAUCUAUUGAUGUCUUUAGCCACUUGGUGUCCAGCAUUGACAUAGAAAAUGUUUAGCUAUCAUGGUUUUAACUUUGGUUAUAGAGUUAUAUAGCCUAUCUGUAUUCUACAGUGUCACCUAAAUACUACACUGUUAUGGAAUACUAGUUCAAAUAAAACAAAGGUGAAUUGGAGUACAAUUUAAAUUUAAUAUGAGCUACAUCGAGUUGCCUACUUUGGAACAGACAUGUAGGAUAUGAAUUUACCCGCCUAUAAAAAGAUGAAUGCUUUUAAGAUUUUUCCUCUGGGUGUCACCUGCUGUAUCCUUAAGUUGCUAAAACAUCAGAGGAUGAUUAGUGCAGGGAAAUACCCUGGGACAACAUUUAUUUUUCUUUAACAUCUAUAUUCAAUUGAAUUCAUUUUAGCUAAGCUCAUUUCAGUUUAAUUCAGUUCUACAAACGUUUGUUAUCUUGUACUUUAGGGCCUACAUAGUACAAAAUCAACUGGAAAUCUGUCAAUCAUCAAGUUGAUUUACAUAGAAUUCAGUUUUGAUAACCAGUUGUAUUUAUUCAGGGCACCCAACUUCUACUUUCUCUGCCUGCUGGGCUUCUUCUCCCCAAGAAAGACUAUUUUGUCUGAAUUUUUUGGUUUGUCUGUCACUGGAACUUCAGUUAACAGAAUAAUUAUUAAAUCUAUAGAUAUUGGCCAGAUCUGCGUAAUUGCAGCUAAAUCAGACCAAGAAUGAAACCUUUGGUGGCUCUACUUUCCAGGGAGGUGUCUCAACUGUGUGCAGGAAGCCAACUUGGUGUUUCUGGAUUUUUGCCACAUGGCAUGGCAGUGUUGGGGAGCAGCAAAUGAUUGGACUGGCCACAUGUUCCACGCUUAUCUGAUGUGGCCAGCUGGGCUUAUGUGGACACAGCAACUGCUUAAGAGUCAUUUUGGUAAAAAGAAACUAAACUGGAUGAAUUUAUUACUCUUUGUACUUUGUACAGAGCAACCUUUGAGUUCCGUGUUGUUAGGCUGUGCAGUUGGGGUUUGGGCCCUGCACUUCUAGCCUUUCUUUAUCAAGGUUGGGCUGUUGGUUGCAUAGGUCACAGUUCAUGGAUUGACUUAUUUGGUAUGGGAUGCCUGGUUUGCUACAGUGUAGACUAAGGCUGUGUAGGUAAUGACAACCAAACAUUUUACCAAGAGGAAAUACUGAUUUGUAAGUGUGACUGAGACAUACUUGUGAAGAAAGGCAGGGGAACAGGUGAAAUUGUAUAGGCUGAACUGGGUGGAUUUAUACAUAUUUUAUCUCUUUUUGAUAUCAUUAGCUCAGAUUUGAAUUUUUAAAAGUUUCAUUGAUGCUUUUUGACUUCCUAUCAUUUCAACUGCCCUUUCCCUCUUAUGACAAAGAAUAACAAUUUAACCAAAGCACCUGAUACAGUGAUCACAUCUGACAACAAAUGCAAUAUUCUGACCUUUUAGACUUCUACCUCUUUGCUUUAAAGAGGAAAAUAUAUUUCAUUAUUUGUUUUUCAAGGAUAUUUUUUAAAGUUAUUUAGAAUUUGUCAUCUUUUCAGUGAACUUUUCAUUUAUUUUGUUUAGUCAUUCUUCCCAUUCUCUUUGUUCUACUUAUUUUGCUCUGCAUCAGUUCAUACACUUCUUUCUUUAUUUAUCUGAAUUCCUUAUAUUCAGUUUUUGAGUUUUAAGGUUGUAUUACCAAUGGAUUGGGUUACCUCUGACAAAGAUGAAAGUUAUAUCAAUGCUGAUCAAGAAAAUACGAUAUUAAUUUUUUCUUCCCUUAUAAGUGGAGUUUGACCCACUCAUGAUCUUUGUCUACCAUCUUGGAUAGGACUUUGUACCCUUUUUGUCCAGAGAUAGUUCCCACCACAAUUCAGAAGUGCAUAUAGAUGACCUUUUUUCACUUAGGCCACAAUUUCUUUUGUCAAAGGCACUGAAUAGACUCCCAAGGAAAUUGUCCUUCAUUUAUUUAUUCAUUUAUUUGUUUGUUUGUUUAUUUAUUUAACCCUUACCUUCCUCCUUGGAAUCGAUACUGGGUAUUGGUUCCAAGGCAGAAGAGUGGUAAGGACUAGGCAAUGGGGGUUAUGUGACUUGUCCAGGGUCACACAGCUAAGGAGUGUCUGAGGUCAUAUUUGAACCUAGGAUCUCCUGUCUCUGGGCCUGGCUCUCAAUCCACUGAGCCACCCAGCUGCCUCCCUUUAUUUUUAUACCAAAUAGGAACAGAGAGAAAAAAGGUGAAGCCCUCAUUCUCAAUCACAAUAAUGACUAUUUGUUUACAUGCUUACCUAUCCAUUUGCUCAGGCAGGAUGAAUACUUUAGUGAAAUAGAAAGUAGGAAAACAAGUCACCUUAAUACUAAUCCUUCUGUCUAAGCUAGGGUUUUUUUUUUUUUUUUAAUAUACAGAGAACAAGAUUCUUAAGUGUUGUGUGUAAAGGCAGAGAAUAAUUGUUUUUUUUUUUUCAAACUUAGAAGGAAAAUUAUGGCUUGUGUGUUUGCAAUCCUCUUUUUUUCCCCUCUUGGUUUAUUUGAUUUCUGUGCUUUUCUUAGUGUUGUCUCUACUAUUACUCACAGCCAGUGGGGUAGAUUCCCUCUCCAAGUUCCAACCUUUUCCCUGUCCUGAACUGAGUAAGCUUGUUGUGUUUUGUGGAAGUCAUCAAAUAAAAGUGGUUUAUCUUUUGCUCUAAUGCCAAUUGUCAUAUCAUUUAUUACACAUUUUGGCACCUAUAAAAUUCUCUUGAGGGAAGUCUAAUAUCCUCUCUGAAGAAAAAAUGAUAUCCAUUUUUUUUAAAAUUAAUACUCAUUAGAUUGUAUUUGACUAGGGACCAUGUUUAUUUGCUACUAUUUUCCUGGUAAGGACUGACAUACCCAUUAAGGCACUGGACAAAGACCUGAUAGUCCAGGUGAAAGAUAUUACAUGCUUUGUUCUGUAGCCUUACUAAAUGAGCAGGUGACAAGAGGGAAAUCCUGGAGAGCAUCUAAAGGAGGACAGCCAAAUGAGGAUCAGUUGAGGGAAUUGGGGAUGUUUAGCUUGGAGAAAGUGCAAGGAGAUCAGCAUAUCUGUCUUCAAGUACUUGUAGAACUAUAUGGAAGAGGGCUAGAACUUAUUUUAUUUCAGGAGCAAUGGGUAGAAGUUGCAAGGAACCACAUUUAGGGUUGAUGUAAGAAAAAUCUUCCCAAUAAAUAGAGAUGCCCAAAAGUGGAAUAGUACUUCCCUGUCCCCUUUGGAGGUCUUUAAGCAAAAAACUGACGACUACUUCUUUAGAUAUGCUAUAGAGAGGAUUUUUCAGGUAUGGGCUGGACUAGAUGGUCUCUGGAGCCCUUUAGAAUUCUGAAAUGUUGGGGGCAGCUGGGUAGCUCAGUGGAUUGAGAGUCAGGCCUAGAGAUGGGAGGUCCUAGGUUCAAAUUUGGCCUCAGACAUUUCCUAGCUGUGUGACCCUGGGCAAGUCACUUGACCCCCAAUGCCUAGCCCUUACCACUCUUCUGCCUUGGAACCAAUACACAGUAUUAAUUCCAAGAUGGAAAGUAAGGGUUUAAAAAAAAAAGAAUUCUGAAAUGUUACAAUUUUUUGAUUCUGAGGGCUUGCUGACCAUUUUUGGACAGUCUUGCUUUUUAAUGAAGUCUUUACUUUACUUGGGCAGAUUUUUAUGAGUGAAUAGAGUGCAGGGCCUAGAGUGGGGAAGAUUCAUCUUCUUGAUUUUAAAUCUUGCCUCAGACACAUAUUAGUUGUGUGACCCUGGGCAAGUCAAGUCAUUUAACUGUUAGCCUUAGUUCCUCAUCUGCUAGUGGAGAAGGAAAUGGCAAACCACUGCAGUAUCUGCCACGAAAACCCCAAAUAGGGUCCGGAAGAGUCAGACACCAUUGAGAUGACUGACCAACAAUUACUUUGAAUACUCUAAACAACUCCCAUUCUCAGUGAUCUACCCAUAUUGGUUUAUGUGCUGUUCCUCACAUACAAUGAAUGCUCCCUCUCCUUUUUCGGUAUUUUUGUCCUGGCAGUUGUUCUUCAUGCCUAGAAUGUUCUCCUUACUUACCUCUUCAUAGAAUCCCUUACUUCCUUUAAGAUUCAGCUCAAGCACCCCUUGGGGUCAAGAAGACUUGAGUUCAAAGUCACUUACUAGCUAUGUGAUCCCUGUCAAGUCACUUAACUGCUUUUUGCCUCAGUUUCCUCAACUGUAAAAUGGGAAUAAUAGUGCUUACCUCCCAGGGUUGUUGUGAGAAUCCAACAGGGUAAUAUUUGAAAAGCAUUUACACAAGUAUCUGACAGAUAAUGCUUAAAUGAUUGUUUCCUUCUACUACCUCUGCUUUCCAGUACUCCCCAAUUAGUGUCCCCUUUCUUCCCCAAAUAGUGUCUUCCCUUUCUUCCUAAACUACUUUGUAUUCUUUCUAUGUAUGGGUGUGUAUGGCUAUGCAUGUUAUAUAUAUAUAUAUAUAUAUAUAUAUAUAUAUAUAUAAUUUUUUGGAUAUGUAUGGAUAGGUAAAUAGUUUCUCCAGAUAGAAUGUCUCUCUCUCAAGAAUACCUGAGAGCAUUUUUGUUUCUUUUUUUAAAAUAUUGUAUCCUCAAUCUUACUACUUAAUAUAUAUUAUAAAUAUGCCUGGAAUACAUAUAAUUAGUGCUUAAUAAAUACUUGUUGAGUGAUUUUUUGUUCUUUAAAAUUAAUAUUAACCUAGAUUUGAAUGUGUGCGCAAAUCUUUAGGGUUGGGACAUGGGAUGGAUUUAUGGGUAGGUAUGAAGCUUCUAAUAUUUAAGAUUAGACAUUAAUCUUGGUUGAGUCUCAAAGAGUCCAUUUUUGGCAUUUUUGGAUAAAAUAUUAAAAUGAACUCUUUAGGUCUUACCCUCCAACCCAGGGGAAGGAGAAACAGCAGCCAUAGGAACUGUGUUUUCAGGACAGUAAAUCCAUGUCUGGGAAGGAGUUGGGCAGUGGAUGUGGGUGUUCACAGGAGCUUGUUGUUCCUUAUUAAAGCAUUUUGUGGAAGCUACAGUGUCCCAUCUCAAAGGAAGGUUCCCAAAGAAAGGUCCUUAGAUUGGUUGUCAAGGGAAUCCAUUAUCCUAACCAGGAAGAUACCUUAACUAGCCCAAUCCCCAGGUUCUUCCUAGCUCCUUUAGGUAGGUGAUUUUUUGAGUUUUUUAAUGUUUUUUUUUUUUUAAGUUUGAGGUGAAUCUCAAAGACCCUGCUCCUAUUUUCAUUGAGUGAAUCAAUAUAAAACAUUAUAGACAUAAAUAGAGUAACAUGACCAGGGAUAUUAUAGUAUCAAGAAAGUUUUGGAGUGGAAGUCCUGGCUUCAAAUUCAGAUUGCUACUUAAUAUUAUAAUCUCUUAAAUUGGCUGAAACCUCAGAGGUUUCUUAGGCCAAAUUUCUCAUUUUACAGAUGAGGAAAAUAAGGUCCAGGGAGCAUAGGAGAUUUGCUUAAGCUCAUAUAAAGUAGUAACAGAGUUGGGAUUUGAGUCUAUCUCCUUUUACUCUAAAUCCAAUGCAUUUUUCACUGUACGACAAUUCUUCUAAGGUCCAUAUCAGUGAUAAAUCCUGUGAAUCCUCUGGGAAGCCUUACCCGGUUCUCUCUUCUCCCUCCUCUCCAGACCUACGUCCUUCCCCACAUUGCACUUUGUGCAGCUUAUCACAUAAUAGUGUAUUUUAUAGUUACCUAUGUAUCUUUCACCUUUACUAGGCAAUAAACUGCAAGAGGCUAGGUUCUUUGUUUUUUUAAGCUUCUUAUCUUACCAGGGUUGGUUGAGCAAAAUGCUCACCACACAGUGGGGGCUUUAUAAAAUUUUUUUUUAAGUUGAGACCUUUUGUUUUCAUAUUACAUAUUCCCCAGUACCUCUUUCCUCUUCUAUUUAUAGAACCAUUCCUUGUUUGAUAAAUAUUAGGUGCUCUUGCAUUUAUUGAAUGUGGGAGAUAGGAUCCACAACACUAGCAUUGUCAUGUUCUAACACUGGUUAAGAGAGAGAGAAGGUUAUAUUUGGGAUGAGAGGCAAAAAUUUAUCUGCCAGCUCUAAUGACAGUCUCUAGGAUAACUUUAAAUGUUAAAGGAAAUGUAUAUAGAACUAUCUACUAAGAUAAGGCUAUGGAAAGAAUAGUCAGAUAACAAAACACCAAAAGAAGUUUUGUUUUUUUUUUCCUUGCUAAAACUCAGAUUCUCAAAAUAGGAAAAUGGCAUUUAAAAAACCUGAAUACUUUUUGGUCACUAGUGAUAGGUAAUUUAAGAACUCUGGAUAUGGAAGACACUCAUAAAAUGUGAGAGACUCUCUUGUGCAAGAAAAGAGGAGAAAACUGAGGUCCAGACAGAGGAAAUAGCAGUGUGAUAUAAUUUAAAGAGUGUGAAACUUCUAAUCAGAGGACCUGAAUUCAAAUUCUGAUUGUACUAAUUGUGUGUUUUUGGGAAAGUCACUUGAUCUUUCUGGGUGUCAGUUUCCUCACUUAAAAGGUGAUGUCUAAUUCAACAGAUUUUUCUUAAGCAACCACUAUGUGCAUGGCACUAUACUAAUCACUGGAGACACAGUGACUGACCAAAAAAAAAGGUACCUGCCCUCAAGGAUCAGCUCUUAAAUCUUAAGUCUUGCCGAAGGUCACAUAACAAGUUAGUGGUAAAUCUGGAACUGGAACCCAGGUCUCUUGUUAGGCUAAAAGUAAUAUGAUUUAAAAUUUCUCAUUCACAGAGAAUGGUAGUAGCAUUAAAUGCAGAUAUUUAAAACCAGAAUAGCAAUUACCUUCAAAACCAAAAUUAUUGACACUACUUAUUAACAGGUAAUCAUAGAUAAAAUAACUUUGGAAAAAUAUAUUCUUUGGAUCUGAGUUGGGGUCACUUUUCCAUAGAUGAAUAGACAUGAUCAACAGGACAGAUGGCGUAGGAGCAUGUGAGUGUGUGUGUGUGGGGGGGGGUGGGGGGGAGUGGUGGUGUAUCUGAAUGAACACUUCCCCAAGGCUGGGAUAUCCAUCUCCAUUUUAAGUGGGGUUAUCUGGAAGCCAAAGGAGCUGCUCCUUACCUCUUUCUCAGAUGUAUGCUGGGCCAAUCCCAGGGUGAUUUGGGGACCACAGUAGCUGAAAAUAGAAGUGUACAGAUGGGGAGCCACAGGGCCUGGCUUCCUUAUUGCACCCAGACUAGCUGGACUAGCAAAGACUGAUCUCAUUGCCAGGCAAACAGACCAGGUAUGGUCAUUUCUGGUUGACACUCAGGGGGACCAGUUAGCACCCACAGAAAUGCUGUUAGAACUGAAGAAUUCCCCAGCUCUAGGUUUUCCCAUGUAAAUCUAAAGAAAGUUAUUUGGAGGCUGGGUGGAUUUCCCAGGCUCUGCCUCAAAGCUUCCUCUACUUAUACUCUAGGGGAGGAGUCAGCUAGAGACUUCUUUUUCAGCUAUAAGCAUUGGUACUGGUGGUGUUAUCAGGAAGCUGGGAAGGUUUUUUGGGGGGGUGUAAGGGGUUGGGCUGGGUUUAAAAAAAUUAUUCCAAGUCUGGAUGAAUACAUGAAUAUGUGUGUGUGUGUGUGUGUGUGUGUGUGUGUGUGUGUGUGUGUGUGUGUGUGUGUGCAGGAUACAAAUAAAGUGAUUUUUUUCACAACAAACAUAAUCAGUUUAGUUGGCAAUCGGUGGGCCUCUCAAUUUGGUAUUUCCCAUACACUUGACAAACAGCAAGUUUGUGCAUUUUAAGUGCAUACAAGGCACUGUAUUUGCAAAGUAAGUGAAAAAAACUUUCUUUCCUUGUGUGUUCUUGUAAUUGAAUUUAUGUUUCUUUAGCGACAAAAUAUGAUUCUGCUAUUUAAAACACCCCCACAAAACAGUGUACUGGUGCUAUCCUUCUAGAAAUGAGGUCACAGUAAGAUUUGGCACACCGUCUUUUGGACCAUGUCUCCCUUCCUUCUUCUCCUAGGUAUGUGCUAUCUAUUGGCAAUAUAUAUAGGAGGAUAGGAAUUGGGGUCCCCAGGUUACCUUUGGGAGUCUUCUAGAGCCAGUAGCUCUUUGUUUUUGUGUCAUGAAGGGUUAUGCACUCAAGCUCAUUGUCCUUACUCUUUUCCCACUUAUAUUAGUUCUUUUCAUGUUUUGCCUUCAGUUUGUACUUUCCCCUUUAUUCUUUUAGAUUUAGAUUUAAGAUUUAGGUUUAGAUUAAGAAGGAGACUUAGUGUUAGUGAGCCCAAUUCCCUCAUUUUAAAGAUGCAGAAACUAAGGUUCAUAGAUAUUAAGUUAGUCAGUGACACAGCUGUUAAGUGUCUGAGGUGGGUUUCAAAUCCAAGUCCUAAGCUUUGAAGCCUCAAUACUCUGUCUACUACACCACACUGUUUUUUCAUUUAUACUGUACUAUUUCUUCUCUGCUUAUCCUUUUGAAACCAUAGUUAAAGAUUGGUAUGCCUAGUAGACAAGGAAGGUUAUAUUUUAAGAAGUUGAUGUUAGUAUCCAUUCUUUGUUGUGUCUAUGCUCCUUUGCAGAUGUGCCCAGAGGUGCUUGAACUAGCCAGUUUGCCUGACUAUACUUGUUUGGGAUGCUAGUAUCUAAAAUCACAGGUUUAAGGUAGGAGAGUCAUGAUACCAUGUAGAUAUAGCUUUGUUUUACUGUUUACCUUAAUUCCAGACUUUAGUUUCCUUCCAUAAAAUGAGAGGUUGGACUAGAAUUCAGAUUUAGAAAGAACUUUUGAGAUUAUCCAUCUCCUAAAAACCCUUAUUCUUUUUUUGAUUUGAAGAACUCCAGAGAUUGAAAGUUCACUAUUUUUUGAGGCUGCUUAUUCCAUUUUUGAAUAAUGAAUCAUUAGGAGGGUUUUUCUUUCUUUGAAUUAAAAUCUACUCCAGGCAAUUUCCACCCCCUUGAUCCUAGUUUUGCCUUCUGGAUAAAAAAGAAGAGUUAGUCUGAAUAAAACAAGUAGAAUAAGUUCAUUGUCCACAUAUAAUAUUUGAGGCCAGCAUAGCAUCAUAAUUUAAGCUAGAAAGGACCUUGGAAGUCAUCAAGUCCAACACCUUUAUUUUCCAGUAGUGGUCUUUAGAUGAUUUAGUAUGUAAGUUCCUUGAGGGUAGAGACUCUUGCCUUUUGUAUUUGUAGUCUUAGUGCUUAGCACAGUGCUUGGCAUAUAGGAAGGGCUUUAUGAAUGUUUAUUCAUUCAUUCAUUCAUUCAUGAUUGCUAAGGUCCCUUGUAGUUCUAGUAUCUUAUGAUUCCAUGAUUCUUAUUUCAUGAGAUAAAGCAUUCAUCUUGGUUAUAGGUAACAAAAAGUCUAGAAGAUUUCACAUGAAUGAAUGAAUAGUUCUAUUGAGAUAGGUUUCACUGUACAGUUGAAGGUACUAUAAAUAUAAAGUCAGGUAUCUCCAGGAUGGGAAUCAUUUCCCCUGGGUGGGUUUAGCCCCAUUUGAAAGUCUUCUUUACCUUUCCAUUCAGUAUGGAAUAGUGGAUAAAUAUUUGACCUCAAGGAGACCCAUCUUCAAGUCCUGCUUCUGGUACUCUGACUGUGUGAACUGGGGCAUCCAUGAAAUCACAGAUCUGAUUUCCUUUUCUCCAAAGUACAAAUUUUGUACAUAGAAGGGCCUGCAGUGGCCAGAAAGAAUUAAUGGGGCUUCCCAAGAGUCCCAGGCUUCUUGUGUUGUCAUUGCAUAGACUACUCCAGAACUGUCGUGAAAUAUGUAACCAGAAGCUCUUGUUCUUAAGCAUCUACAGUACUAUAGGGUAGUCUGGCAUGCUCCUUGAAAUCUAUGUAUUCUUGAGGUGAGAUGUGGGUUUGAGGCAGAUCUUUGUAGGUCUUCUGGAGUGCCUACUGCAUCCUGCCUGCUUGUUGUGCUGUUGCCUUCAUGGCCCCCAAUACCGAAUCUCGCAGAGCCCACUCCAUCUAGUUGUCCACAGCCUGGAUUGCUUGUUCUGUGCUUCAUAUCUGAUGUAGUCACCUGCUCUGGCCUUCUUGCCAUUUUCCCUGCUACUUGGUGAAGACUUUUUCUCUCCCCUCUUCCCCUUUCCCUUACAAAUAUACAUUUACAUAAAAGUUCCCUAACCUUUUGCUUUAGGAAUCAUAAUCACAUCCAUACUGCUAUUGCUUCUAAAUGGGUGGGUCACUUACUUACUCCCUGUGACUCACUGGACCAAAACAGCCUUCCCUGGCUACCACUCCCUUAUUAGAAUGUAAGCUCCUUGUGGGCAGGGACUGUCUGGCUUCAUAGAUCUGGAGGUGGAAGGGACCUUAGAGGCUGUCUUAUCCCAAACUCUCAUUUUACAGAUGUGAGAAAUUUAAAUGACUUGCCCAGGGGGUCACACAGGUAGUAAAUGUAAGAGACAAGAUUUGAACCCAGGUCCUUGGAUUCCAAAACCAGUGUUUUUUCACUGCCCUAGGCCAUAUUGAAUGCAGAAACCAGCAAAAAAUGGUCACUGGGUGCUGUCUGGUUUACCUUUUCUGAUUUAUACAGCAAGGAGAUGGGAAUGGGCAUGUGGACUAGUGAGCAGUUUUUCAUUCGUUCUCCUUUCAGCUGCUCUGUAGCAAAGGGCUGAGUUUUCUCAGGUUUUGGUAGCAAAACAAUGAACUGGUAUUGUUUGAAGACACUGGCAAAGUCUACAGGAACAGAGUUAAAUUAAGAUGCUCUGAUGAAGUUAUUCAAGUGCAUCAGUUUGGGGGACUCCUAGCACUUGUAGAAUAGAAUAUUGCAUUAAGCAUGGGGUUCAGUGAGGAGGAAGAGGAGGAGAAGAAGAGGUGAUGGGGAGAAAUGAAGUUUCUAACCUCAGAGAGCUGUCUAGUUGAUCAUCAUAGAUCAAAUCUAUUACAUCAGUGAGCCCUGAGUAGUCAGAGACACUUUACUGGCCUUAAAAGAAAGGGCACAAUUUGGAAAGACAAAGAUGAGAAAAGAGAGGGCCUUCUGGAUGUGAACAAAAUAAGGAGAGGCUUGUCAGGUUGUUCCUAAACAAGUUUUUAGCUGAGACUGCUGACAGGCAGUCACUUUUGAGACCUGUCUCUCAGCUCGAAUGUUUCAAUAACUCCAUAACCGUAUGAAGCUUUUCUCCCUGUGGGCCCAAGAUGCUGUAAUCAUAGGCCAGCCAUUUCUGUUUUAAGGACUUAUACAUCUAUGUCAUCCCAUUUCCUGGUUCAGGAGGCUGAGCUCUGGAAAGGCACUAAUGGGGGAAAGCUCCUCCCACUCAGAGCUCUUUAAAUGGACCUUCUGCUGGAGAGCAUUGAUGACUCAGUGCUGGAGAAGACUUAAGGUGGUUGGAAAAGGGAAGGCACAUUAUAAUGGGGGGGGGGGGAGAAAUCAAAGAAAGAAACUUUUGAUUUUUAAAAUUGAUUUUCUGGAGACUGGGCCUUCCAAACUUGUAUAUGCUAGAAGUGCAGUGGCCUCUCCUAGGCUUCCACUUAUGGAAGCUUCAAUUUACUCCAUUUCUGACCUGAGCCAAUUUGUACCUCCUUCGGCAGGUGGCCUUCUGCUCCUAGGAGCUUGCCAGGUUGGAGCAGGACUUAAUUUGGACAUUUAUUUGACUUUAUUUAAUCUAAUUGCAGCUCAGAACUCCUGAACUCAAGCCAUCAACCAGCCUGAGCCUCCCAGUAGCAGGGACUACAGACCUAUUCUGUCGUACUUGGCAAGGAGAAACUUUUCAGAGUGUAGGACAUGAUUAUGAAUUGUGUUCAGAAACCCCGUUCAAGGUCUGAAAAGCUGUGGCAUGAUAUAAUAGAAUGUCUAUUUUGAGAAAACAUUUCCAUCACUGUUAAUCCAUAAAAAUCCUUCCACCUGAGUACUUAGUUCUAAUAGUGUAAUUUCUAGGGAUUUUUAAAAAAGUUAUUAUCAAACUUUUAUAAAACAAAAAUUUUUGUGGUGGUUAGAAUAUAUUUUGUGUGAAACUCAGCAGUGGAUGAUUGCAUUGGGUUUUGGUUAAGUUAUUAUAUGAAAUAAAUGUGAAUUUAUUGUUUUUGUAAUGGACGCUUAACUAUAUAGACAGACUGGUCUAGUGGAAAGGGGACUGAGAGUCAAAGGACCUGGUUUUAAUCUUGGCUGUAUUGGGAAAGUCACUUUUUUCCCCCCUGUAAAAUGGAAAUAAUUACUUUUCCUCCUGCCCUACUAAUUCUUCUUCCUCUUACCACAUUGAUUAUAUUUACAUUUUUAUAGUCAGGUAUGUUGUUCUUUUGCUUUUCUUUCUUCAUAUAAGUUCAGACAAAUCUUACUAUUUUUCUCUGAAUUAUUUGUAUUCAUCAUCCUUAUAGUAUAGCAAUUCUUCAUUAUAGUAAUUAACAUAAUCUGUUCAGCUUUUCUCCAAUCAUGGCAAAUAUUUUAUUUCCAUCUUUUGUUAUCAUACAUUAAUUUUUUAUGAACACAUUUAUAAAUACAUAGGUUAAAAAAAACUUGUCAUUAACCUCCUAAGGGUAUAAGUGGUGUAAUUAGUUCAAGGCAUAAAGAACAAGUUAGUAAUUUUUCAUGUGUAAAGUAAUCAAAUUUUUACUAUAUAGUCUUAAGGUUACUCGAGUAAAGUGCUUUGUUAAACCUUAAAGUGAUAUAGGAGCUAUUAUCAUUAGCAAAGAGGAAAUCUGUUUUAUGAUCAAGAAUAACAAGUCAAUUCCAUCCUUUCAUUCAGAAACUGGGAAUGGGAGAGUGUCUCUUAUUCUUUCUUCUUUUCCUUGAAGAGAAAGUUCCCCCUGUCUACCAUAGGCAUUGUGUUUGGUUUGACCACACAAGUCAGUUAGUAAUGAUAAUAAUAAUUAUUAUAAUAGCUAAUAUUUAUAUAGCACUUCCUAUGUGCCAGGUACUUCGCUAAGUGCUUUACAGUUAUUGUCUCAUUUAAUCCUCAUAACAACUCUGGGAGUUUACAGAUAAGGAAAUCGAGGCAGACAGAAAUUUAGGGACUUGUUUAGGGUCAUAUAAUCUGAGGCUGACCCUGAGCUCAUAUUUUUCUGACUUCAGGGAACUCCGUCUACUUUGCCACCUAGCUGCCCCAAGUGUGUCCAAUUCAGACUCCAUUUGCUACAUAAAGAGAAGUGUUCAGAUUUGAGUAGUAUAAGGGAGAGUUGGUGAUAUACAACAUUUCAUAGGAGAUGCACAGCAUUUCACUGGCUUCUCUUCAGGCCUUACUGAAUCUUUUCCAAGGCACUCCUGACUUCUACUGCAUAGUAUGCCUUUUCAUUCCUGUGUAGGUAAGGUUUUAUGGUACUCUUGAAGCAUACUACCUAUUUAUACACUGUAUACUUGAAAUCACAUUGAUAAAGGGUAAACUUGAAGAAAAGACUGGAAGGUAUGGAGGAAGAAGCUGAUGAAGGCACCUACACAUGACUGGAAUAUCUGCAAUGCUUGCCCCUAGCAGGUUUUUUCCUAGUGCCAGGGCAGGUUGGAAAUCCAGUGCUUGAGAGAGUGAGACAUUGGUGUGAACUCAGCUUGAUUUGGCCUUGGCUUUCAAGAAUAGUACUUGGGAAAUAAGAUUUUGAUCUUGGAAAAUAUGAUUUAAAAACAGAAUUGAAAGUCAUUUUUAUUUUCUAAAUGAUAUUGCCCCUGACACAUUCACUGAAACUGGACUAGAGCUGCUGACAUAAGAAUACCAAUGUGGGGAAAGUACAUUACAUUCAGAGCUCCUCUCUGGAACAGGGUUUUUAUAGAGCCAUUUUUUAUCUUCUUUUCCAUUUACCAUUUAGUAGAGUCAGCUUCUGGGUUGUGAUUAUUGGAGGACUGAGGAGGAAGCAAGAUCCUGCUAGGGUUUGUAGUCUUUUCUUCUGUGAGGAUUGGACUUCACUAAGACUGGCUUUCUUGACACUAUCAAACUGACCUCUUUUAGCCUGUAGUCAGUUGGACCAUAGUGGCUGCCUCCCUGAGCUGUGUGGAUUUCACCUUAUACCUGGUGAAUUAAGUUCAGUGACCAUGUUGGCUUGCCUGAACUCUUAACUAGCCUGCUUUGUUACAUUCUGGGGUCCCUCUGGCCCGGCAGGGAGCCCUCCACAUUCAUCAGGGAGUAGCUAAGGUCACUGACACAGAAUGGACUUCACUUGGCCCCUCCAGGACUUGGGAGAUUCCAGAGCCUCUACGUAUAUUAACUACUCUUGGGGUGUGGAUUGCGACUGGGUUUGCCCAGUGCCCCAGGUCUAGCCUAGAAGAGCAGCUAGAUGAAUCUUUUUGAGGAGGAUCCUGUUGUCGACAAGACUGACUUCAGGCUGGUUUCCUUUGAGCAUUCAAGUCAAUCCAAAAAGCAAGCAUUUAUUGAGUAUUUCUUAGUUCAAGGCACCCAACCAUGCUAAGAACUUUGGCUACUAAAAAGAAUCUCUGCCCUCAAAGAACUUAUGUUUUAUGUUCAUAAUGAAGUCAAAACAAAAUAUAUAGAAAGUGAAUAUAAAGUAAUUUUUAUUUCUCCCUCUAGGGGAGAGGGUGUUCAGAAAAAGUCUUAUGUAAGGGGUUCUACUUAAGUUUGUUUUCCAAAAGGUAGAAGAACGAAGGAAGAAAAACAUUUUAGACCCAAGGGAUGGGCCUGUGCAAAGCAGAGAAGGUGAGCAGUGGAAUGUUGUGUAUGGAGAGCAAUAACUAAGCUAGUUUUGCUGGGAUGUAGUGUGUGUGUGAAGAAAAAGAAUACAUUUGGAAAGAUAAGUUGGAGCCAGAUUGAAGGCUUAAAAUGCCAAAGAGAAGACUUUACCUUUUAUUUUAGAGGCCGUAGGGAACCACUGAAUCUUUUUUGAGCAGAUGGAUGAUGUGGUCAGAUCAGUGCUAUCAGAUAUCCCUUUGGCAGCUGAGAGGAAAAUGGAUUAUAGAAGGGACAGAUUGGAGGCAGGGAGGCUAUUGUAAUAAUUAAGGUGGGAGGCUUUUCUGUUUAUUCUACACAGUGGUUCUUGAUGGAUGCUAAUUCAUUUCCUGCACUCAGAGUCAAGCAGGAGAACUUAACAUCUAUGAGGAAGCCAAUUCCAGAGCUACACACCCUGGGCUGAAUCAGACAGGACUGAAACUUUUGAUUACUCUGACUUGUAUCAGUCUGUCUUGGUGUAUGAGCAAUUAAAACUGGUAUUUCUGCUCCCUGCUGCGUUGAAGGAAGGACGCAUGUAGGUGAAUUGUGGUAGUUUGGAUGGAUUGUAUAUUUUUGGUCUUAUCCAGUUUUUCCUGGACAUACUAUUGAGAAGGAACUAGAAAGGUUUGCAUUGAAGAAGAGAAGGCUUAGAGAAGGCAGGAUUGUAGUAUUUACACUGGAGAGCUAUUUUGUAUAAGAGCGAUCACAUUUGUUUUGCUUGGCUGGUUGGUAGAGUUGAAUGGAAUUGAAUUGAUCCCAGAGAACAGAACCAAGAAAAAUGGUGAGACUUUAUGAGCAAGUAGCCCAAGUGGGAUAGUAUAUACCAAGUGCUUUGCAAACCUUUAAGUGCUCUAUCAAUGUUAGUUAUAAAAAUUAUAAUACUAUUAUUAUAAUUACUUAGGCUGGCUGUAGGAAAAAACCCAAAACUUCCUAACAGUGAACUUUAUGAAAAUGCAAUAGGCCGCUUUGGGAGAGAGCGAGUUCUAUUUCCUUCAAGGGUAUUCAUUCAGGCCAAGGCUAGAUGACCAUUUGUCUGGAAUGCUAGAAUCAUAAAUUUAGAACUGAAAGGAACCUCAGGGUCCUUAUUUUACAUAUGGGGAAACUGAACUGUAUAGAGGUUAAAUGAUUUUCCUAGGGUCACUCAGCUAGUGAGUAUGAGUAAGGGUUUGAAUUGGAUGGUUUCUUAACUAUUUUUCAAUUCUGAUUCCUUGUGACUUGGUUGGCACAAAAAAAGUGCAAUUUUCUCCUUUGUUGUUUGGCCCUUUUAUUUCACAAUUAAUACCAUAUUUAGUAUUUAUAGUUUGGAAUUUAGAAAUGACAAUACCCUUAGGAUAUCCUGGAAGAGAUCUUAAGAACUUUGAAUGUUAGAGCCGGAAAGGACCUUAGAACAUAGACUGUCAGAAUACAGAACAUUUGAGCUGAAAAGGACAUUAGAGCAUAGAACGUAAAUUGUUAUUGUUGGAAAGACCUGUUGGAUAUCAAAUGUCUGCAGGAGUCUUUAGGACAUUGAUUAUUGAAGUUGAAGGGUCCUUGGAAUAUAAAACAAUAGCAAAACCUGACAGAAUGCUUGGAGGUUUGUACCAUGCCUUUCUCACAACAACCCUAUGAAUUCAGGUUUUAUUAGGCAUCUGGGGGUUCAGUGGAUAGAGUUGGAAGGAUAGGGUCUGGUGUCAAGAAGACCUGAGUUCAAAUCUUGUCUCAGACCCUAGCUAUAUGACUGCUCUGAUCUAGUCACUUAACCUCUGCCUCAGUUUUCUAACUAUAAAAUGGGGAUAAUAAUAGCACUUAUUUCCUAGGGUUGUUGUGAAGAUUAAAUGAGAUAACAUUUAUAAGUUCUUUGGCACACAUUUCCUAAAAACAGAAAAUGCUUAGUAAAUAUCUAUUCUUUUUCUUUUAUUCCCAUUUUACACAAAUGAGGAAACUGAGGCUCAGAGAAAUUAAUUGAUCUUGUGAUCACAAACUAAUAAAUAUCUGAAGUAGGAUCUGAAUUCAGAUCUGCAGAGUCUUACACUUUUACUUACACCAUAUCUACAUCUGCAAGUCUUACACUCUCUCUACUGUGCUUGUGAUACAUGUAAUGACAUGUCAAAAUGUAGAUUGUUAUAGUUGGUAAGGACUUUAAGACAGUACAGGGAAUAUCAGAACUAGGAGGGCCUUAGAGCCUGCCAUGUGCCAGUUACUGGGCUAUGCACUGUGGAUACAGAGGCAAAAAAGAAACCUCUUCUGCCUACCCAGGCAGUGGGGGGACUUGAGCUCUGGGCCCUCAGACACACUAGCUAGGUAACCUUGGGCAAGUCACUUAAUUUUUGUUUUGGUUUCCUCAUUCUGUAAAAUAGGAAUCCUAAUAGCCUCUCUCUCCCAGGGUUAUUGUGAGGAUCAAAUGACAUCAUAAUUGUAAAGUGCUUCAAACAUAGUUUCGCUAUAUAAAUCUUAGCUGCUUUUAAAAAGUAACUCCCAUUCUAUGAGAUCAUCUAAAACAGUAGUGUCACUCACAAAGAAAGGGAGGCCAGAGCCAUACAUCAGGAUCCCUGAAGGUCUUAGUGCAGCUGGUAUAUUUGACACUACUGAUCUAGAACCUCUCCUUCAACUCACUUAGUCUAGAGAUGUGUCAGUGGUGUUACCGGGGCUAACAAAGGUAUUCUUAGUCCUAUUUUAAUACUCUUUUCCUGACAGUCAUGUGGUCUCUCUGUGGGGGUGAAGGGAACUGAAGAUAUUUACUUUACAAAGUGCUUAUAACUUGCUUUUCACAUAGGGUCUUUUAUGUUUUAAUUAAUUUACUUUCUGGAUUAAAUUCAUUUCUCUGUUCUCCAAACUCUGGGAGUCUGAUUUUCCCUGGUCUCUUUUCCCAUCCAACAGAAGGAGGGAUGACCAGUUGAUCAACUAGUUCCAGAUAAAGAUGGAACUGCAGACAGAAUCUUUCUGAUUGGAUCUUGACUCAAGAGGAAUGGAGUUUGUAGGCCAAGGAUAAUGGUGUUCAAUUUGGUGGAAUAUUUAAAUUCUAAUAAAAGCUUUGUUUCUACUGGUGAUUCCAGACUCUUCUGUGGCAUUGAUUGGCUGGCUGGGCCACAGUGAUGAAGAGGCAACCCUUCCUCUGCACAUUGGAAUUGUGUUCUGUUUCCUUGACUAUGUCAAAAUAUUUUUUUACCCUUGUCUGAAGUUUCAAGGUUGACACCACUUGUCCAUAAAAUAUUUAUUUUAAAAUUUAAAACCAUUCUUCACUUUUUUAUAGAACAAAACACAGCUGAAAAAUCAAGUAAAUUCACAGCAUGAAAAGGAUGGCAUUGAGCAGCCUGAUCAGCAAACAACAUAGGAUGUGUACUUUACAUACAAUUGCUCAGAAAUAAAAAUCCAAAGUGUUUAUACUAGGAAUUAUGAGGACCUUGGGGAUCUGAAUUCUGUAAGUCCAGAGGAGAGACCCCCCCAUAGAAAAGGAGAGAACAGAUAUUAGAUAUUCAAAUCAAGAUUUGUUUAUAUUUGUACAUUUCAGAAAGAUCAUAAGAAGUAAGCACCUGAAGAUGCUUUUCCAAAAAAAAGUUUUUGAUGCUUUUUAAAAACAUUAUAAUCAUUUUGAUUCUUAACCUGGGAUCUACAAACAGCCCAGGGAUCUAGUUUUCCAUUAAAGAAGGCCAUUAAUUUGGAUUGAGGAGAAAAAUGACCACUUAAUUUUCACUAACUUCUUUUUAUUUAUUUAAAUAAAAGGUUUAAACCCUAACCUUCCAUCUUAGUUGUCACUACUAUGUAUUGGUUCUAAAGCAGAAUGGUAAGGGUGAGGCAAUGGAGGUUAAGUGACUUGACCAGGGUCACAUAGCUAGGAAGUGUCUGAGGCCACAUUUGAACCUAGGAACUCCCAUCUCUAGGCUUGACUUCCACUGAGCCAGUCAGCUGCCCCCUAUUUUUACUAACUUCUAACUGAAAUUUAGUAUUUCUUCAGUUAUAAAUUUUUAAAAAAAUAUUCUGAGAAGGGAUUCAUAGGCUUCUCAGACUACUAAAGGGGUUAUGAAAAAAAUUGUUAAUCAAAGUCAAAGGACACAUCCACCUUGUUUACUAGCUUAUGUGAAAGUUUUCUCACAUAUAGCUCUUUACCACUACUUUCCUUCAGUGCCAAGAUUGGUCAUUUUAAUUAUGAUUCUCUAGGUUUUGCCUUGCUAGUCACUUUUUAAUAGUCUGUGCAUAUAGUUGAAUGUUGCUAUCUAAAUGAAGUCCCUAUUAGUCAAUUCAAUUUGACAAACAUCAAGUACCUACUAUGUGCAAAUUGCUUUAUGAAAUAGAAGAAGUAAGAAAUUCAUGCAUAUUGUAGAUUUGAACAUAGUUACUUUAUCUUGGUCUCUGAUGACUGCAAAGAGGCAGUUUGUUAAAGAAAGGGAAAAAAAAUAGCCUCCAUGCUAGAAACAUAAACAGGUUGAUGAUUUCCCCCCUCUAGCUAACAUUUGCUAUGUAUAAUAUAUAAUGUGUGCAUGUAUAGUUAGUUUCAUGCAAAUUAUUUUCAACAACCAACCUGUUUUUUUCUGUUAACAUUUUGUAUGAUAUGAACUGCCUGUCAUUUGAAUGAAUUAAAACCACCCCCAAACUGAAUAAUUUAAAAUGGAGUAUUUAAAAAACCCCCAACAACUUGACCAUUCAUUGACUGCUUUAUUUGGCCCUUAGAGAUCAUCUAGUCCUACUCCCUCAUUGCUGUAUGAGGAUUCUAAGGCCUCAAAAGGUUAAGUGCCUUGCCCAAGGUCCCACAGGUUAAAUAAAUAGCAGAGCUAGGAUAUGUACCCAAGCCCUUUGACUCUAGGUCCUGUACUUUCUACUACACAGUGCUACUUUUCUUAGUUGUAUUCUUUGAACAUUUUGCCCUAAAUAGUAUUCCUUUAUAGAUUAUUAUUAUCCAAUAAAUUGAACAAACUGUAUAUUUCUAGUGAAGUUAAAAACCCAAUGGAUUAUUUCUGAAUUGUUUUUGGAAUAGACAGUCCUAAUUAUGUUUAUUUUCUCUGAUCUGGUAAUGUAUAUAUUUUAAAAGUUUUUUUUUUAAGUUUUAAAACCUGAUUUUUGUUUUUAAAGAACAGGGGGGGAUUGUGUAGGAUGUUAGGCAAAAGAAAACAUGAAAUUUCCUAGCUAAAAAGGUUUCUGGAUUAUGGAAGUGUGAUGUGUAAAAUAACAAACAGAAAAAAAUCCCAUACUACUAAGAGAGUUAAGAGGCAUAGGAUUGAAAGUGUUAAUCAAGCCGGGUUUCCUACUUUACAUUAGAGAGAAUGUAAAUUCCUUGAGAGCAGAGACUCACCAUUUUUUUUUCUUCUGGUGUAUACCUAUCUAGACCAGGCCUUAGCGGUUUGUAGAUGUUAUGUUAAUUGGAUUGAGUUUCAGGUAUAGAUUUUUGGAGUUAUGUGACUGUGAGUGUAAGAGCCAACCUUUGAGUGUGACUAGAUGCUCUGUUAGGUCCUUUCCAGCUUUUAAUAUCCUAGAUACCUGGAAAAUAGGACUCUAACAUGUCUUUACACCUUUCCUCUGAAACUUAGAGCAAUUCUUAGCAACAUUGAUAUCUAUUACAAACUGUCUGUGACUUAGGAGAGCAUCUUUCAGAGUUUCUUUGACCAACAACAUUUAUCACCCUGUGGCCUACCUUGGUGAUGAGCUUCUUUGAAUUUAGGUUAAUCAGUCAGUCAUUAAACAUUUCUUAAGUACUGAGUAGGUGCCAGACACUGUGCUAAUCCCUGGGGAUACACAGAAAGGCUAAAGACAGUUAGUCCCUAUUCUCUAGGCACUCACAGUCUAAUGGAUAGUAGGUAGGCUGGUUCUUGAAUGGCAGACACAGUCUGUUUUGCACUUGUCAGAGCUUGUACUUCUUUGCUGGUGUAGUUUUUGAGAACCCAGGGUCACACACCAACAAGAGGCACCCAGGGGAGAACUUUUAAGUGUUGACUUGAUGGCCAGGACCAAAGGACCAGGAGAAUAGCUUGAGGCAACCGUACAUUUUAUUUAAAAAACAAACAAACAAAAAAAUCCCUCCUAAACUUUAGCAAAACAAUAGCAAUAAUAACCUAUUUUUACUCUUUUCCUUCCUGAUCUCUUUUUCAUCAGUACUUAUAAAGUUUUGGCCAUGAUUAUUUCUUAUACAGCUGAAUUCGUUGUCAGCCACCCCUAAGAGGCUAAGGAUAGGGCAGCUGGGGCUCUGUUCCUUACGCCCUGAGGUGUUUCUACCUGCCCCUGACUUGUCUGGCUCAUGUUUUGUCCUUGGUGCUUGUCUCAAAUGCCAAGAUUAUUUAUGUCAGCUCUGGCCCAUGUGGAUAUUGUUCUUUGCUCUUGUAGCACUUCAUAUCAGCCUACCUCAAUUUUAUGUGUACGUUUCUUGAAUGUCAUUUUUACAGUGUACUUAAUACUAAUACUUAAUACUCAUCUCAGUGCUACAGAAAUGUGAAUUGUUGAUAAUGACUUCUAUUAUUAUUUUCAUUAAGAUUUUUAGUCAUCAACCUAAAUUGGGUAUAAAGUAGAUUAGGUAUAAAGUAUAAAUGGUAGACUUAGUCAAAUCAUUCCAACUGUUGAACAUUUAGAUUGUUUCCAAGUUUUUGCUCUUACAAAUAGAGCAGCUGUGAAUGUACAAAGUGGCAUUUUUUCCUUUUAAUAAUAUUCUUAGGAUAAAGUCCUUGCAGAGAAAGCAGUACGUCAAAGGGUAUGGUCAGUUUUAUUUUAACUUCCAUUGUAUAUUCUCAGAUUAUUCUCCUGAAACUUGCACCAGUAGUUAUUUAUGUUCUUAUGUGUCCCCAGUGGUCCUGUUUGUACAGAAUUCUUGCCUUUGGACCUAGAAGUACAGGAAUGCAAAAGUUUUCUUUUGCCAACUAAAGCUGAAAAUAUGGAAUGGAUAAACUUUGUAGGUUUCACUUGCUUUAAAGAUGGCCUCAUUUUUUUCUUAGUGAUAAUGUAAAUGAACAGGAUUCAGGGAUCAGGGGGUCUAUACAGAUUGCACCCUUUGAACCAAUAGAAUCUGAGCUCAGAAGGGGAAUUGACUUCUUGGAUGUUUGGAAAAGUUUCUGUACUGAGAGUUUUUUCUGUAUUAAAGGAUUUCGGGUGCCAAUGUGAUAGAAUAGAAGAAGUCCUAGAUUUGGAGUGAGAAGAUCCAGGUUCAGUUACUUAGUACUUGUGUGACUGUAAGGCAAUUAUUUAAGCUCUCUAGGCCUCAGUGUCCUAAGGGCCUAUGAAAUUAAAGCAUUGGAUUGGAUGGACUCUGAGUUCCCUUUCAGACCAUAUACAUGAUCUAGUGAUUAGCCAUUAAAAAGAUUUGAGAAUGACUGCUGGAGGGGAGGAGAAGGCAGCAGGUCAAAGGAAAAAGGUCAGAGUGGUACAGUAGAGUGGUAGAGUACAUAGAGUGCUGGACUUGGUGUCAAGAAGUCCUGAAUUCAAAUGUAGUCUAGCUCUGUGACCCUGAUCAAACCACUUAACCUGUCAGCCUUAGUUUCUUCAUCUGUAAAAUGGGGAGGAUAAUAGCACUUACUAGGGUUGUUUUGAGAAUAAAAUGAAAUAGCAUUUGUAAAUAACUUUGCAAAUCAUUAUCCUCCUCAUCAUCCUGUGACAUUCAAAGGUAUGGACUGAAGAAGCCUGAAGCCUGGGAAAUCUUCUUGAGUGCCAUGUUACCAGCAGCCACAUUUCCUGGGACAUUCAUAGAUGUCACCAUAAAGUUAAGAAUUGAAAAUCAGUCAUUCAACAGCUUUAUUAAGUACCUGCUCUGUGCCAGGCCCUAUGUUCAGUACUGGGAAUACAAAGCCAAAACUGAAACUAUCUCUGACUUUGAAAAGCUUGAUUGGAGAAGAACACAUAUGCAUAUACACUUAUACAAAAAUGAAAGGAAAGACGCAGGCAACUGCUCAUUUCCUUAUUUCCUGGGUUUCCCCUUUCUCUGACCUUUUUCCUUUGACCUGCUGCCUUCUCCUCCCCUCCAGCAGUCAUUCUCAAAUCUUUUUAAUUUUUUGAUUCUUUACUCCUAUUGCCCAGGGCUCUUGCCACUUUCUGUGUAUUUUAUAAGCACAGAAAUCAAUCCCACUCUACAUAGAUCAUAGAUAAUUAUAAUUCACAUUUGAAUAGUACUAUAAAGCAUUGCAAAAUGCUAUUCUCACAACCACCCUUUGAUUUAGAGUGGAAAAGUCUUGGAGAUUAUCUCAGGUUGCCUCUCUAGAAAAUACAAGGAUUGGGCUAGAUGAACUGUAAGCUCUUUUUGAAUCCUAAACCCUAUGAUUGUAUGAGCAAGUUCAAUACCCCCAUCUUACAAAUGAGGAAAGUGUGGCCUAGAGAAGUGACUUGCUCAUUGUUACACAUGGUAAAUAUGGUAAAUGGAAGAGCCUUGUUGUUGACAUUGUUAACUCAAAACUAUGCAGAACCCUGUCCUAUGUCUAGUUGAUUUUGAUGGUUAGGAAGGAACUAGAGCCCUAUCAAAGCAAGGAAUCAGUCAAGCAUUUACUAAGCUCUUAAAAUAUUACCAGUACUAUGAUAAGCACUAGGGAUUCAAAGAAAAGCAAAAACAGCCCUUAGAAGAGAGUGACCUGUUUCAUUUUUUCUGCUUAAGUUCUCUUGUUCCCUUUACUGGGAAGAAAGGAGUUUGGGAAAUGCUGUUUUUGGAGGUACUUAUGCUCUGACUUAGACCUGGUCCUUGAUCCCUUUUUUCCCCUUUCUCAAUUUCAAAAAGUAACUUUUCUUUGGCUCAGUUUUCCCCCUGUUUCAAAGGGGCCUGGAAAUAGGUGCUCCUGGACAUCCCUUCCUUACCCUUGGGAUGAACCAGGAGAAAAAGCUGAGAUGCUGUGAUUCCUGCAUCUUGAUAUAAAGCCAGUCGUUAAACAUACUUUAGUUUCCCCAAACAGAGCUCUGGCCUCCAUUUGUGUAGGAGAGGGGCCCAGAACAUAAUGCUUUAUCAGGAUACCGAGCAGAUUCCUAGGUGAGGCCUGGAGAGUGUGGCUUUUCUUUCCUCAUCAAAGUGGAGAGCUUUGACCUUUGGCCAGGUGCUGGCAGUUGUUUUUAGGUAACUCAUAUGAUAGUUGUUCUUUUAAAUGACUAUGUUUCCUGAAGAUCUGAAUGACUUCUUCAGUCAUCUGUGUUUUGUAGUUGACCAAAGUGUAUUUUAUCUUUUGCAGAAGUUGUGAGUGGGAGGAAGGAUAAACCACUUCCUCUGUAGCUUUCUGAUUUAUCAGGCACAACUUUGACAGUUUCAGUUUGAAGAGGAAAAUGAAAAAAAAAUUAAAUAAAACCUGUCUCAGCAUUUACUAUUCUCUGCCUUGUUUUCCAUUAACGUGAUUGCAUUCCUGGGCCUGGCUUAACCUCGGCUUUUGGGGCCUCAUGAGGCCUUUCAAAAUUCCUUUAUUGUUGCAGUGCUGAUUUCUUAAUUUCUGCAUGUCCAUUUGCAGAUUAGGGGAAUUGGAGUCCUGAGACUGAGACUUUUAAAUACUUUUAGGUAGCUGGUUUUUUCAUCCUGUUGUUGUGAUGCAGCUAGCCUCAAUGUUGCUGGGGUACUCUUCUGAGAACAUAAAAAUAUUAGCUGGCAUUUAUAGGGAGUUUUCAGGUUUAUGAAAAUCACAACAUAGAUUCUCUCUUUCACUUGUCCCAACAACCCUGUGAGAUCAUUCUGAACCUCAGAGAGAGUCACAUUACUUAUUGAUAGUCACCCAGCUGUCCGAGGCCAAAUCUUCUUGACUUCAAGUCCAGCCUUCUAACCAUUUUGCCACAUGACUCCCAAGUCAGACUUGAUUAGCUAACCAAUAAAUUUUGGGUUCCAUCCUCUGAUCUUAGGGAUUUUUACUUGAGACAAAGAUAAGAAUGUUGCUGGAUAUGUGGGGCCAUAGCAAAACCUCUGCUCCUUUGUAAUCUGCAAAAAUAUUGUCUUACUAUCCUGUAGACCCAGUGCUUGUGCAUGGUUUCUCUUCCAGCUAAAUCUGAGAUUUAAUGUAUUAGUUCAUUGUGUUAGUACAUGAUAAUAUGAUAAUAAAAAUUCUUCUGAUGAAGGUUUUCAAUUAUAGCACAUCCCUCAGCUACAUACAUAGUUCCUUUGCAACCCAUUUCCCACUUAAAUCCCCCUCUCCCUAAAUUUAACCCCUCCUUAGGGAGUUUUUGUUACCAGAAUUCUUAUAUCCUUAUUCCUUGGGUUGCUUACUUGUUGAUGCUGCAACUGCUUUUUGUUGGGGGAAGCUCAAGCCACCCUGAAAUGGGUAGGGAGAAGGCUGCAGCAGUACUAUGGAGCAGGCCUAAGGGAAUAAGUGUGGGUGGUAGUCAUGCUUUUCUGUAAUACUUCCUUUUGAUUUUGAGAAUAGUUGAAUUCAUAGGAAAAUAGACAUAGAACCAGGCCAUGGGUUUAUGGGGGAAAUGAUAUUAUUGAGGAAUUGGGACCACCGGUUUUGUACCUGAGGAUAGGAUAGUACAAGAAAAAAAAUGAUCCAAAUGGCAACAGGAUUUUUAUAUUUAUGUACAUAUUUUAAUUUUUAUAAAUUUUAUUUAGAUAUAUAGACCACAAGGCACAAGACCACAGUUGAACCUGUCACAAGCCCCCAAACAGUUAAAGCAGAACAUCAUAGGGAAUGACUGUAACAUGUAAGUGCAUGUCAGCAUGUUUUGCCUUUUGCUAAAAGGAAGGAUGGUUAUAGUUUAUGAAUUAGCACUACCGUUGCCUGAUAAUUUUGGAUGAAAGUUUUCUUGAUUUGUAUGGUUGUAGUGGCAUAUUAUAUCAUUUUCUGGGUUUUGCUUUGUUCUCAUUUGAAUAUUUCCAAUUUAUCCUGAAAUAUGGAUCAUUCCUAUUGUUUUCAAGUUAUCUCUCCCAUUAGAUGGUGAGCUCCUUUUUCUUUUGUUUCCUCAGUGCUUUGCACAGUGCUUGUCCCAUAAUAGGUGCUUAAUAAAUGCUUCUUCUUUUGACUUCAAACAAGUCUGAGAAAAUUUAGUUCAGAAAUAAAAUGUUGCCAGCUCUAAGUCUUAGGACCCGGUAAGUCCCCAUCUUGUCUUAAGUUUCAGAGUAGAAUCAGUGUGUCUUCUUUUUGGCCUGACUUUUGGCUAACUCUAUAGGUCAGAGAACCUUGGAUGGUGUAGGUGGUUCUAGAACAUGUCUUAGGAAGGUAUGAUACCCAGGUAUCUCAGUGGUUAGAGUGCUGGACAUGGAGCUAAGAACAUUUAAAUUCAAAUCUGGCUUUAGAUAUUUACCAUCAGUGUGAUCCCAGGCAAGUCACUUUACCCUGUUUGCCUCAGUUUCUUCAUCUUGAAAAGGAGCUAGAGAAGGAAAUGGCAAACUACUCCAGUAUCUUUGCCAAGAAAACCUCAAAUGGAAUCACGAAGAGUUGGACAGGACUGAAACAACUGAACAACUAAAAUGUGCUAGGAAUUGUUCUGAGUAUUAUGAUCUAAAGAAAAGCAGAAACUUGGUCUGACUCUUAUCUAAUUUACCGUCUCUUAGAGUAAAAAACAUGCAAAUAGCUAAGUACAUACAAGAUGCAAUAUAAAUGGAAGAUAAUCUCUGAGGUAAGGAGUUUAGAGAGCAUAGAGACUAGAAGCUAGGCUGGAGCCAGGGCCUGGAAAAGAAGGCCUCUUGAAGAAGGUUGAAUUUGAGCAGAGUGGGAGAGGAAGCUAGAGAAGCUAGAAAUUGGAGGUAAGAAAGGAGAAUGUGGUAGGUUAGCAUUGGCUCAAUUGACAAUCACAUAAUCAAAGAAGAGGAGGUUAAUCAAACAUGUGACUUGGAAAGGAAUGUGGUCUAACAAGGUGGUAGCUAGGACUCUGCUGCAAAUAAUGUCCUGCUCAGGAAUUCUCUUGUCCUUUGGACUGAAGAUUUGGCAAUACAAUAAUCAAUAAGUAUCAUGACCACGAGUCUGAUAUAUGAACCCAUAAGAUACAAUAUCAAAAUACCAAUCAUUCUUUCAAGAUGCUAAUAUACCUGGUAUGCUACAAUUUUAGAAACCAAAUUCCAGAAAGUUUAGAAAUGAAUGAGGAGAGGAAUUGGAGGCAGAUAUUUUGAGCAGAGGUGUCAUACAUGCUACCUGAUCAAAUGUUGUCUGAACCCAAAUUAAAAUGGGAAAUAUUUAUCACAAUAUAUAAAAAUAUAAUAGAAAACAGAUAAUGUUGAUAUGUGAUUUACUAAGUCAGUAUGUGGCCAUCAAAGAUCCUUAGGUAAGGUUUUGCAGUCCCAUUUCUAUUUGAGGUUGAUAUCAUUAGUGUAGAGAGCUUUCUCCAAAGGAAUUUAACUGAGAAAAGGAGGAGAGAUAUAGGAUGAUACAGCUUAUAGAGAUAGUUGGAUCAGAUGAGGGUUUUUAUCGAUGGGGGAAACAUGGGCCUGUUUGGAGGAAGCUGGAACCAGUAGAUUGGGAGAGAGUGAAGAUUAGAAACAGUGUGGAUGAUAAAGGAGGCAAUUGCUGGAGAAGAUGGGAGGGGAUAGGAUUCAGUGUAUAUGUAGAAAUGUCAUGGUAGGGAGAAGGGCCAUCUCUUUAUAGAGGGCAGAUGAAGGAUGAUAUAGUGGGGGGAAGAAAUUUGAGGGAUAUGAGAAGAGAAGUUGGAGAUAAGGGAGAGCUCUUGGUGAAUGACCUCAGGUUUUGUUUUUUUUUUUGAGAGGCUGGAGGAGAGAGAUAAAGGUGAGAGCCUCAUUGAGAUAAUGCAGCAUAAAUUUGUAGUGGACCUGGAGUCAGCACAUUAUAAAUAUUUUCUCUAGUUCUCUUCAGCAAUGUGUGAACAGUGAGAGUAAUCCAUGUUUGGAGUUUAGUAAGGCAUGAUCUGAGAGAGGGCAGAGAAGGCAAGAGUUUCCAACAUGGAGGAUAGCGUAGGGUUGAACUUAUUUGCCAAAGGUUGAUUGAUGGUAAGGAAAGGGAGCCAGUGCAGAGGUGAUGGACUAAGAAAGAACUGAAGGGUGGAAGUCAAUUCUUACUUUUAUCCAGAAUUGUUUUUAUUAGGUGGACUGAUAUUCUACAAAAUAUUUUGGGUAGAGAAAGUAAGGCCCUAAUCUCUCUCAGUAAACAAAUUGCAAAGAGUAAUAAAUGAUUUGUGAAUGAUCACAUGUUAGGUAAGCUGGAAAUGACAGUUUGCAAAAUCAUUUUCCUUGCUUACUUUGCAAUGAUUUUAUAUAAUAGGAAGUAGAUGGAACUUUAGAAAUCAUCUAGUUUUAUGGUAACUCCCUUGGUUGGUCAUUUACCAUUUUAUCAGAAAUGCUAGCACUUUGCCCAUGGGCUGAACUACCUGAGAACCUCACUGCUAAGAAUGAUGUAAUUAUACUAAGGUGACUAGGCAUUUGUAAUUUUGUAUUUAAAUGAUUAUUGCACAGGGUUAAGUGACUUGCCCAGGGCCACUUAUAGCUGUGUGACUCCUGUAUUAGUCCCUUAACUCUGCCUCAGUUUCCUCAUCCAUAAAAUGAGGAGGAAAUGGCAAACCAUUCCAUAUCUUUGCCAAGAAAACCAGUCAGACAGGACUGACAAAUGUCUUAUUGCAUACUCCGGAGUAGCAGAUCCCUAAUGAGGUCUGGGGACCAUUGAGGGUCCCUAAGAUCCUUCUGGGUGGUAUUUGAGAUCAAAAUUUUUUUCCAGAGAGCUAGUUAUUAAACAUUGUCAGCACAUCAGUGGAUAUAACUCAAUAAACAAAAGCUUUUUGGUGGGGUCUUCAAUAAUUUUUAGGCAUGUAAAGGGGUCCAAAAACUAAAAAGUUUUGAGAAAUUCUGCUUUAGAGUAAUCCAAAGACCUGACAAAGUUAGGACUAAUUUUUUACCAUCUGCAUAAUUUGGCUUUUAGCAUAGAGACUCAUUCUCAUGACUGGGUGCCCACAUAGAGACUGCUCUAUCAUUCUCAUGGUUGGAUGCUAGAGCCUGCUCCAUCAUUCUUAUGGCUGGGUGUUGGCAUGAAGGCUGCUCUGUCAUUCCCAUGGGAUUGAAGCAGAGUCCUCUCUGUUGUUCUUUUUGCCUAGCAGAGAUUGUUGCCUAAGGCAACAGAUUUAUUUCUUUUCAGGUCUGAACCAUAGCUGAGGGCUCUCUUUGUCCUUUUUCAUUGGCUUUAAAUAUUUGUUCCAUUUUAAAGACAUUCAUUGCCUUGAAAGGCUAUGAAUUUAAAAGUUUACCUAUCUUCCCUCAUAAGACUUUGGCUUCGUUUGAUACCUCACCUACAUGAUGUUCCAUAUACAAUCAAUUGCCAAGGCUUUUUGAUUCUUCUCCAUGACAUUCCUCACUCCUCUUUUUCCAUUCCCAUUCCAAUUAUUCUAACUCAGGCCCUCAUCACCUCUCACCUGGACUACCCUAACAGUGCUUCCUGUUUUCAGUCUCUAUCUCCUCUCCAAUCACUCUUCCUAAGUGGAUUUCCUAAUACCCAAAUCUGAUGGCUUCAGUGUCUUACUCAAAAACCUCCAGAGGCUCACUGUUGUCGAGUAAAAUGCAAGCACCUCAGCCUGGCUUUUAGGGUUUCCCACAUUCUUUCUCCAGCUUAUUUUUUUUUUCAUGGUAUUGCCCUUUAUUCACUCAACAUGCUAGCCAAAGUGUACUAUUCCCUAAUCUUUUCCUGCCUUUUACCUAUGUUCAUUUGUGUGUGUUGUUCACUGGGCCUAGAAUGAUCUCUCCACUAUCCCCAUCUGUCAACAUCCUUCCCCUCCUUCAAAGACCAGUUCAGAUGCUGUCCAUGAAGCUUUCCUUUUUUAUUUCAGCUUGAAGUGUUCUUUCACAUUUUAGGUCUUCUUUGACCUUUUUAUUUGACCUCUUCUGUGAAUUUAAUUUUUUCCAAAUUAUAUUUGAAUUAUUUGUAUAGAUAUUUUCAGCCUUUCAUUGAAUUGUAAGCUUUCUUGAGGGCAACCACUGGGUCACUUUUCUUCUUUGUAUUCUAACUGGUCCUGUUGUACAUUGUGGGCAAUAGGUGCUGAAUAAGCAUAUGCUGACUUGAAUGGAUUUUAAGAGAAAGUAGAGAGCCAGAUUAAGAUGGGAAAAUGGGAGUAGGGUGGGGAAGGAGAAGCUCAGCCAAACCUUGAGCAGGAUAUGACAGAAAUGGCCACUUCUGUUCAUGAGAAAAAAAUAGACGUGUUUGUAAGCAGAGUCAAAUAAGAGGUAACACUGGGUUAAGGAACCACAAAGUAAAAAGUUGGAUGGUGGCCUCAGGUGACACUGAGCCCCCUUCUAUAGUUUUAAAGAGCAAACCUUUGUUAAUGAGCUAAAGCUUUGUAUUUUGUUUUCACCUCAUGUGCAAUACUCCUCUUACAUUGUAUAGCAGUGUGUAUUUGGAGACCCAUAACUAUUGUGAAUGGUGCCAUGAAGAAUGAUCCUUGAGGCUUUUAUUAGGCCCUUUUUCAAGAAACAGCUCAUCCUUGUGUGGGAUUCCUCUGCCCCUACACUCUCAGGGGCCUAUGCUGGAGGUUGCAUACUUGAGCCAGCCAAGCCACUUACAAGGAGCUGUUGCAAGGGCUAUUUUCCAAGCCAAGUCUGUCUCCCAUACCUCUCUCUCAAUACAUUUUAAUUCUCUUUCAGCUCUUUCUCCUCCCUCUUCCUCUCUUUCCUAUUCUUUCUCCCCCUUUCCCCCUACUUUUCCUCUUCCCUUGUUAAUACCUCUACUUUCCUUGCCUAGUCUUUCCACUAGCUUCCUCCUUUCUCUCUUUACUGCCUUAAUUUAACCCACACUAGGCAUAUUGUUAUAGUAGAAAGAACUGAAUUUGGAAUCACAAGAUACUUCAGAGCAUUGAUCAUACCCCCCAAAAAUGUGAUGCUCAGAAUGGAGCACAACAAUGGAUCCUUGAAUCUUGACCUUUAGUGUUUAUUAUCAUAGACCAGUGGCUUCUCCACUUUGGGUCCAUUUCCUCCUAUGUAAAGUAUGAGAGUAUUGGACUAGAUUAGAGGUGCCAAAUAUGGCAAUCCCAAAUGCAGUCAAACCAGGUUAAAAUACUUAACAUAAUCAACAAAUAAUCAACAAAUCAACAAAAAUCAAAUAAAACAUAGAUAAUGUCAGUAAGCCAUUUUUUUAUUUUAUAAUAUUUUAUUUGAUCAUUUCCAAGCAUUAUUCGUUAAAGACAAAGAUCAUUUUCUUUUCCUCCCCCACCCCCCAUAGCUGACGCAUGUUUCCACUGGGUAUCACAUGUGUUCUUGAUUUGAACCCAUUGUCAUGUUGUUAAUAUUUACAUUAGAGUGUUCGUUUAGAGUCUCUCCUCUGUCAUGUCCCCUCAACCGCUGUAGUCAGGCAGUUGCUUUUCCUUGGUGUUUCUACUCCCACAGUUUAUCCUCUGCUUGUGGAUAGUGUUUUUUUCUCCUGGAUCCCUGCAGAUUGUUCAGGGACAUUACACCGCCACUAAUGGAGAAGUCCAUUACGUUCGAUUAUACCACAGUGUAUUAGUCUCUGUGUACAAUGUUCUCCUGGUUCUGCUCCUCUCGCUCUGCAUCACUUCCUGGAGGUUGUUCCAGUCUCCAUGGAAUUCCUCCACUUUAUUAUUCCUUUGAGCACAAUAGUAUUCCAUCACCAACAUAUACCACAGUUUGCUCAGCCAUUCCCCAAUUGAUGGGCAUCCCCUCGUUUUCCAGUUUUGGGCCACCACAAAGAGUGCAGCUAUGAAUAUUUUUGUACAAGUCUUUGUGUCCAUUAUCUCUUUGGGGUACAGACCCAGCAGUGCUAUGGCUGGAUCAAAGGGUAGACAUUCUUUUGUCGCCCUUUGGACAUAGUUCCAAAUUGCCCUCCAGAAUGGUUGGAUCAGUUCACAGCUCCACCAGCAAUGAAUUAAUGUCCCUACUUUGCCACAUCCCCUCCAGCAUUCAUUACUUUCCUUUGCUAUCAUGUUAGCCAAUCUGCUAGGUGUGGAGUGAUACCUCAGAGUUGUUUUGAUUUGCAUCUCUCUGAUUAUAAGAGAUUUAGAACACUUCUUCAUGUGCUUAUUAAUAGUUUUGAUUUCUUUAUCUGAGAAUUGCCUAUCCAUGUCCCUUGCCCAUUGGAGAAUGGCUUGAUUUUUUGUACAAUUGAUUUAGCUCUUUAUAAAUUUGGGUAAUUAAACCUUUGUCAGAGGUUUCUAUGAAGAUUUUUUUCCCAAUUUGUUGUUUCCCUUCUGAUUUUAGUUACAUUGGUUUUGUUUGUACAAAAGCUUUUUAAUUUGAUGUAUUCAAAAUUAUUUAUUUUACUUUUUGUGAUUCUUUCUAUGUCUUGCAUGGUUUUAAAGUCUUUCCCCUCCCAAAGGUCUGACAUGUAUACUAUUCUGUGUUUACCUAAUUUACUUAUGGUUUCCUUCUUUAUGGUUAAGCAUUCACCCAUUUUGAAUUUAUCUUGGUGUAGGGUGUGAGGUGUUGCUCUAUUCCUAAUCUCUCCCACACUGUCUUCCAAUUUUCCCAGCAGUUUUUAUCGAAUAGUGGAUUUUUGUCCCAAAAGCUGGGAUCUUUGGGUUUAUCGUAUACUGUCUUGCUGAGGUCGCUUGCCCCCAGUCUAUUCCACUGAUUCUCCUUUCUGUCUCUUAGCCAGUACCAAAUUGUUUUGAUGACUGCUGCUUUGUAAUAUAGUUUAAGGUCUGGGACUGCAAGGCCCCCAUCAUAGGUGUUUUUUUUUUCAUUAUUUCCCUGGAUAUCUUUGAUCUUUUGUUAUUCCAGAUGAAUUUUGUUAUGUUUUUUUCUAAAUCAGUAAAGAAAUAUUUUGGGAGUUCAAUGGGUAUGGCACUAAAUAGAUAAAUAAGUUUGGGUAGGAUGGUCAUUUUUAUUAUAUUGGCUCGUCCUAUCCAUGAGCAGUUAAUGUUUUUCCAAUUGCUCAAGUCUAGUUUUAGUUGUGUGGAGAGUGUUUUGUAGUUGUGUUCAUAUAGUUCCUGUGUUUGUCUUGGGAGAUAGAUUCCUAGGUAUUUUAUUUUGUCUAAGGUGAUUUUGAAUGGGAUUUCUCUUUCUAGUUCUUGCUGCUGAGCUUUGUUGGAGAUAUAUAGAAAAGCUGAUGAUUUAUGUGGGUUUAUUUUGUAUCCUGCAACUUUGCUAAAGUUGUUGAUUAUUUCAAUUAGCUUUUUGGUUGAAUCUCUAGGAUUCUUUAAGUAGACCAUCAUGUCAUCUGCAAAGAGUGAUAACUUGGUCUCCUCCUUGCCUAUUUUGAUGCCUUCAAUUUCUUUUUCUUCUCUAAUUGCUACUGCUAGUGUUUCUAGUACAAUGUCAAAUAGUAGAGGUGAUAAUGGGCAUCCUUGUUUCACUCCUGAUCUUAUUGGGAAUGCAUCUAGUUUAUCUCCAUUGCAGAUGAUAUUAGCUGAUGGUAGUAAGCCAUUUUCUAAGACAAUAUACAGGAUGUAGGGAUUUUUAUGGAGAGUUUAGUGGUCCCCAUUUCUAUUUGACUUUAGGUGACUGUAAGGUCCCUUCCAUAGAUAAAUCUGUCAUCUUUUUAUAGGCCUACUCUAGACCUUCCGAGCCAUCCACUGGAAUAGAUUUAACUCCCUUUUCCCAAGCAGACUUUUUGGUACCAUCAUGUGGCCACUCCCUUCAUUGUUUCUCAAGUCCUCCACACAUUUCCAUGGUAUGGUAUGGCCUAGCCCAGGGCCGGAAAGAAUGGGGAAGCUUUGCCCCAAGUCCCUUUGGUGUCUGCCUCAUGGAGCAGGUACUCAGCUGUGGCUGCUAGCAGUGCCUGGAUGAGAAGGAAAGAACUGCAGCUGGUUGUAUUUGCUAAAAUUUCCAGUGGGCGGAGUGUGGUCUAGUGGUGUCAGAAGCAGAGCCCACGGCUCUAUUUUAGUUUUCUCGUUGACUCAUUUCGUAAACUCAGAAAAGUCACUUAAAUCUCACCAGCCUUGAGUAAAAUGGUGGCUUGAGCCUCCCUUUUCAACAUAGCAUUCAUUCCUUGGGCAGGGGGUAGGAUGUGCUGCUCCUCAGUCAGUGAAAACAGGAUCUAUUUGUUUAAAGAGAAGAGUGGCUACAGUGGGGACAGACCAUUUCCAAACAAGCUUUUCCUUUGCUUUCUCUGGGCCUUACCUGCCUUCUCUCUUCUUGCUAUUUCAUGGCUCUCCAAACAGCUGGAGCUCCAAGGGGUAGGAGCACCUUUUCCCCCAGACGCUUCCGAAGAAACACUAGGUGGUCUGGAGUUAGAAAACUAACUAGACCAGGAGUCAGAAGACUGGAGUUGGAGGCCCAGUUUUGCCCCUAACUUGCUGGGACAUGUCACUUCAAUUUAGACUUGACUUUCCUCCUCUGUAAGAUUACCAGGGUGACCUUAUAUUUUCAAAGAUCCCUCCUGCCCAAAUGAUAAUAAUAGAUAAUAGAUAGCACUUAUACAGGUUUACUUUACUUUAAGGUUUACAAAACUAUGUAUAGCAUCUCAUUUUAUUCUCAAAAUAAACUGGGGAGAUAGGUGCUGUAGUUGUUGGUAUUAUUGUUCCCAUUGUACAGAUGAAGAAAGUGAGCCAUUCAAAAGUUAAGUGACUUAUUCAGGGUCACACAGCUAGUAAAUACCUUGAGGCUAGAUUUGAACUCAGGCCUUCCUGCCUCUACAUCCAGGGACCUAUCCCUUUUGUCACUCUGUGCCAACUCUAGCAGAGAAGUCUUUUCUCCAAAUUACUAGUUUCUGGCCUGGGUCACCAUUUCUUGAGGGGACUCCAGCCAUGCUAUCAUUUCACUCCUGAUACAGUUAACUCUUUAACUUCCUCUCUUAGGAACCCUUCUUCCCUCUCUCUUCAGAGGCCCCCUUUAUGCCUUUUCCCUCCCCCUAUUAUAAUGGAAUCUUCUUGGGAACAAAGCUAUACACCCCCCACCCCCCACCCCUUUUUGUGUUUGUAUCUCCAUAACAUCGCUAUCUUGGAUAUAUAGUAAGUGCUUAAAUCCUUUAUCUACCUGUCUACCUAUCUUCCAGGUCUAAGCAGAGAUUUGGUGAUUCUCUUCUAUCUCAUUGACAGUCAGUUCCCACCCACACAGAUUACAUCUACAAAUCCACUAGCAAGCAAUCACAUGCUUUCCCAUAUUUUUUCCAAUUUAUUUCAUUAAUAAAUUCUGAGGUCUUCUUAUUCCCUUCCCCCUCUUUCUCUUGUUGGGAGGGGUAAAAUGAAACAGUUUUUUUGGGGGGUGUAUGUGUAAUCCAUGUAAAUCGAUAUUUUUGUCAGAUUUAUCAAAAGCAAUAGGAUUUCAGGUAGAAAUGGUUUCAUGAACCAAGAUAAUAGAUUGAAAACCAGAAAAGAUCAUUUAGAAUAAACCUUUGAUUUUAGAAAUGUAGAAACUGACACCCAAAAAAGUUAAUGCUUUCUUCCCUAAAGUCACACAGGUAACAAAUAAAGCUGGGAUUUGAACUUUGAACCUUUGAUAUCAAAAUUUGUAAUCUUUUCACUCUACUAUUUUGCCUUUUAAAUGAAAACUUGGUUACAUUUUGCCUUUGAAAACCCAAGAAGGAAAUAGCCUUAUACUUAAUAUUUUAGCAGAAUAGAUAGGAGGGACUUGGCAUUAUGUUUCCAAAUGUACCCUGUUUAAUUUGUUUCAUAAACCUUGUAUAGGUAUUAUGUAGCUCUUCUCAUUAGAUUGAUGGACAAAUAAAUAGUUUGUGCAGGAACGAAGUUGGCAACAUCUUCUAACUGUUUGAAAAAAAAAAAUAGGUCACCCUUGGAAAGUUUGGCCCUGAAUGCUCAAGGGAAA